RNAcentral lists this ribosomal RNA (279 nucleotides) under uncultured bacterium. Its description in RNAcentral is "partial 16S ribosomal RNA". It matches the Rfam family "Bacterial small subunit ribosomal RNA", at positions 506 to 784 of the family's 1533-position model. The record is from RNAcentral.
UGCCAGCCGCCGCGGUAAUACAGAGGGUGCGAGCGUUGUUCGGAAUCAUUGGGCGUAAAGAGCACGUAGGCGGUCUGUCAAGUCUAAUGUGAAAGCCCUGGGCUCAACCCAGGAAGUGCAUCGGAAACUGUCAGACUAGAAUCCCGGAGAGGUUGGUGGAAUUCCGAGUGUAGAGGUGAAAUUCGUAGAUAUUCGGAGGAACAUCAGUGGCGAAGGCGACCAACUGGACGGUGAUUGACGCUGAGGUGCGAGAGCGUGGGGAGCAAACAGGAUUAGAUA